GGAGGGCGCGGGCCGACCGGGCGCACCGACCAUGGCCUCCAAAUGCCCCAAGUGCGACAAGACCGUGUACUUCGCCGAGAAGGUGAGCUCCCUGGGGAAGGACUGGCACAAGUUCUGCCUCAAGUGCGAGCGCUGCAGCAAGACGCUGACGCCCGGGGGCCACGCCGAGCAUGACGGGAAGCCGUUCUGCCACAAGCCGUGCUACGCCACCCUGUUCGGACCCAAAGGCGUGAACAUCGGGGGCGCGGGCUCCUACAUCUACGAGAAGCCCCUGGCGGAGGGGCCGCAGGUCACCGGCCCCAUCGAGGUCCCCGCGGCCCGAGCAGAGGAGCGGAAGGCGAGCGGCCCCCCGAAGGGGCCCAGCAGAGCCUCCAGUGUCACCACUUUCACCGGGGAGCCCAACACGUGCCCGCGCUGCAGCAAGAAGGUGUACUUCGGUGAGUGCGCGCCCGGGCCCCGGACCCCCGCCCCCGCCCCUGCCCCGGGGCUCGGCCUCACUCCUCCCCCUUUCCAGCUGAGAAGGUGACGUCUCUGGGCAAGGAUUGGCACCGGCCCUGCCUGCGCUGCGAGCGCUGCGGGAAGACACUGACCCCCGGCGGGCACGCGGAGGUGAGGGGAGUGCAACGGGGCUUGGGGCCGGGCAGGGGCGCGGGGUGGGGGCGAUGAGGGUGAGAGGCGCGCCUAGAGGGGAUGGGGGGUGGUGCUUCUGGGAGCUGCGCUGCCCUCUCCCCCACGGCGAGCCGGCCUGCACGUUCUGGAAGCCUCCAGGUGAUGGGUUGGGGGAGUCUGUGGACUUCUCUCUCAGCACCCACCUUCUGCCCCAGCACGACGGCCAGCCCUACUGCCACAAGCCCUGCUAUGGAAUCCUCUUCGGACCCAAGGGAGUGAACACCGGCGCGGUGGGCAGCUACAUCUAUGACCGGGACCCCGAAGGCAAGGUCCAGCCCUAGGCUACAGCGGCUCUCGUGAUGUGGGCUCACCUGCGCCCCAGACCCUGCAGGGGCUCCCCUGCUUGGCUCUGCUGGGAGAGUGCUCAGCCGCCUAGUCCUGCCUGCAAGCCCAGGGCGAGUAUUGGAGGAGGGGCAGCCACGGGCAGAGCGCCAUGCCCAUCCCCGAGUCUCUGGUGUGUCUGCCCCCUCUGGCAUCCUCUGGGCGUCCCAUGAUCCCUUCUGUGUCUGCGUGUCCGAAUCCCCGUGUGACCCUGUCCCAGCAUUUUCCCGCCGACCCUGCGUGUCCCCGUGGCGCUGUCCGCUCUCCCUCUCCUGCUGCCCACCCACCUGCCAGUGUUAUUUAUGCUCCCUUCGUGGGUGAUGGCCACGCCCUCACCAUGUCCCUGGCAGAGGGCUUUCCUCCGGGAUCCCCUGCCUGGUGCCCACACUGCCUCGCAAGCGCUCGCCACCCUCACGUGGCUCACCUGCUGUUGAGCCUUGUGCUGUCAAUAAACGGUUU
RNAcentral lists this small RNA (1449 nucleotides) under Pan troglodytes (chimpanzee). Its description in RNAcentral is "retained intron". Lineage: Eukaryota; Metazoa; Chordata; Mammalia; Primates; Hominidae. The record is from RNAcentral.